UACGGAGGGGGCUAGCGUUGUUCGGAAUUACUGGGCGUAAAGCGCACGUAGGCGGCUUUGCAAGUCAGAGGUGAAAUCCCCGGGCUCAACCCGGGAACUGCGUCCGAUACUGGGUGGCUUGAAUUCGGGAGAGGGAUGCGGAAUUCCAGGUGUAGCGGUGAAAUGCGUAGAUAUCUGGAGGAACACCGGUGGCGAAGGCGGCAUCCUGGACCGACAUUGACGCUGAGGCGCGAAAGCCAGGGGAGCAAAGCGGGG
RNAcentral lists this ribosomal RNA (255 nucleotides) under uncultured bacterium. Its description in RNAcentral is "partial 16S ribosomal RNA". It matches the Rfam family "Bacterial small subunit ribosomal RNA", at positions 524 to 778 of the family's 1533-position model. The record is from RNAcentral.